UAAAAUACCCCAGAGUCUGGUGUUACAAGUCAUGAGUUGCUAAUACAUGGUUUAGAUAGUAAUCUCAAAAUAAAAAUUGUAUGGAAUGAAGAACAUCAAUGAAAAGAUAGAAAAGGAUGCUUGGUGCUGCGAACUAGUCCAAGAAGCUCAGCCUGAAUUCUCCAAACAACUCUGAAGCCCACUCUUAAGCUCCACUGGUGCAAGGAUCAGUCUCUGCAUAAAAAUGCCUAAACGUCGAGAAUGGAUUUGAAGAAUCCUUUCUUCUCCACGCAAACUCAACCACACACAGGGAAAGCAAUUAAAAUUUUAAACUUUAACUAAAUCGAAUAAUUAAAGGUCUCAAAAAUAGAAACCCUAGGUAAUUCUAUUUUUUGAGUAUAUUUCUGAUAUUUCAGUAUGCUCAGAGGUUGUGUAAUAUUGUGAAUUGGAUAGAACCCUAAAAUCUCAAAACCCUAGCUCAUUUUUGAUAUGGGAAUUUUAUAAUUUGAGAAUUUCAU
Long non-coding RNA from Lycium ferocissimum, 497 nucleotides. RefSeq lists it as uncharacterized. NCBI's taxonomy places the organism in Eukaryota, Viridiplantae, Streptophyta, Magnoliopsida, Solanales, Solanaceae. The record is from RefSeq and is a predicted model, not a curated record. The transcript has 2 exons.